CAUCGAAUGUCCACAUUCAAUAUGGGGAGGCAUAACUUUAUGUUGUGCCGGACUCACCACUUUUUUUUCCCGUGGGCAGUCGUGGAGUGAACCCGUGGAGGCAGGGAGAGGAACACGUGACAAGCUAAGGCAGGGUGUUUUCAGAGAGCGGAGGGAGUUAGGGGAAGCGGGGCGCAGCGGCUUUGGGGGCGGAGGAGGCUGCCGGGGGAGGAGACGGGCAAGGAGUGCGGGAACUUCGCGGCCGGACUACGCUAAGGCAGGGAGCGACAUUAGUUCGGGAUCGGGCGAAGCUAAUAGCCGAGAGGCACCCGUUAGCUCUUAAGGCGGCCGAUAAAGAAGAGGUUAUUGGAUGGGUUCCAUAGCAAAGGUCCUCGGGACGGGGGUAUCAUCGGUUCUCCGGCCGCAGCCCCCGGCUAAACGACGAUGAAAACUCCUCAACCAUGGGACAGCCACCGGGCAGCCGACGUCCCAGAACCAAGCACCUCAAGAAAAGUCCCGAAAAGAACCCCCCCAGUACCCUCGAAAGACGAGCACAAACGUUCGGCUAAUGAGGCUGGUGGUACCGUUGGUCUGAAGACCACGCAAAUCCUUGACGUACACGGAGUCCACAAAAUGGGUCGUCGACUAGUUGCGAAUGUGACAAAAUAAGGCUCAACCUUGCCAGGUGAGACAAAGAGUUCGAUAUCUUCGGUGGGGCGAACUAAGUAGACUUUCAAGUAAGCUAUGUAUAGCAAGUGGAGGUUCUGGUGACGGUAUACUACUAGGAUCUAAGAGGGGAGGAGACGCGCUGACCAAACGUAGUUCCGUACUAGGAAGUUCGGUAAGUGGUCUCCUUAGUCUUGGUGAGUCUGGUUUAAUACUACUCCUUUACCUUUGCUACUCAAGUCAGCUGUUCGGUUCAUUUUGUUUGAUACUGUGUUUUUACUUUUCUUCGUCGAGACGAAUACCUCUAUUCAACAGGGCUUUCCUUAGACCUUUAAUAAAGUGGAUGAAAAGAGGUAGAUGACUUCUACUUCUACAGACGGGUUGUACAGAACUUCUAAUAUGAAGCCUCUUAGGAUCCUAUCAUUACGUCACGAGUGUAGUGAAGGUGGAACCGACAUAGAUACUCACCUACCUUUCUUCACUCCGUACGGGACAAACACCUUUCUUUUACCUCAAGUUGCUCUGCUGAAUCUGGAGUCUGACCUCGUUCAAAUUGUAGAGUAUACCCUUGGACUUUUAUAUCC
RNAcentral lists this ribosomal RNA (1229 nucleotides) under Triticum aestivum (bread wheat). RNAcentral's name for it is "partial small subunit ribosomal RNA". Lineage: Eukaryota; Viridiplantae; Streptophyta; Magnoliopsida; Poales; Poaceae. The record is from RNAcentral.